Molecule: ribosomal RNA, 697 nt
Filed under: Pseudoalteromonadaceae bacterium por-3-50-05
Lineage: Bacteria; Pseudomonadati; Pseudomonadota; Gammaproteobacteria; Alteromonadales; Pseudoalteromonadaceae
Description: bacterial SSU rRNA
Rfam family: Bacterial small subunit ribosomal RNA
Source: RNAcentral
CUUCACACAAGUCGAGCGGUAACAGCAGGAGUAGCUUGCUACUCUGCUGACGAGCGGCGGACGGGUGAGUAAUGCUUGGGAAUAUGCCUUAUGGUGGGGGACAACAGUUGGAAACGACUGCUAAUACCGCAUGAUGUCUACGGACCAAAGUGGGGGACCUUCGGGCCUCACGCCAUAAGAUUAGCCCAAGUGGGAUUAGCUAGUUGGUGAGGUAAUGGCUCACCAAGGCGACGAUCCCUAGCUGGUUUGAGAGGAUGAUCAGCCACACUGGGACUGAGACACGGCCCAGACUCCUACGGGAGGCAGCAGUGGGGAAUAUUGCACAAUGGGCGCAAGCCUGAUGCAGCCAUGCCGCGUGUGUGAAGAAGGCCUUCGGGUUGUAAAGCACUUUCAGUAAGGAGGAAAGGUUAAGUGUUAAUAGCGCUUAGCUGUGACGUUACUUACAGAAGAAGCACCGGCUAACUCCGUGCCAGCAGCCGCGGUAAUACGGAGGGUGCGAGCGUUAAUCGGAAUUACUGGGCGUAAAGCGUACGCAGGCGGUUUGUUAAGCGAGAUGUGAAAGCCCCCGGGCUCAACCUGGGAACUGCAUUUUCGAACUGGCAAACUAGAGUGUGAUAGAGGGUGGUAGAAUUUCAGGUGUAGCGGUGAAAUGCGUAGAGAUCUGAAGGAAUACCGAUGGCGAAGGCAGCCACCUUGG